CAGCCCACAUCCCCGCACGCGAACCCUAGCGCUAUCCCUUGCAGCCGCCUCCCACCGCCGCUCCAGAUCUAGAUCCGCCUCCCUCCCCGCUCGCUGCCUCCCUCUCCGCUCGCCGCCGGUCUGCACCCUCCCCUCCCCUCCCUCUCCCCUACCUUUGCCGCCCAUCUUCACUGCCGCACAUCCAUAGGAGCAACACGAGCGGCGCGCCAUGGGGCGGGACCGCCAACUUCUUCUCAUCACCGCUCGCCGCGGAAUGGAAAUAAGGGGCCGGCUGUCGCCGCGUGCUGUUCCUGCGGGUUGUCGCUGCGGGGGCCGGCUGUGUCCUCCUCCCGCCCGUGGAGGAUGACGAGGGCGAGCACGCGGAGGCCGGCGAAGGGGGAGGCGGUGGAGGGGUGCGCCCACUCUGGUACGAGCUAACUCGUGUGUGAUCCCGGGCGCCGCAGGGCCAGCGACAAGUCCGUGAAGGAGAAGCGCAAUAUCAUCAACGGAGACGACCUGAUCUGGUCCAUGGGCACGCUCGGCUUCGAGGACUACGUCGAGCCCCUCAAGCUGCACCUCAAGCUCUAUCGAGAGUUAAUAAUAUUCAUUCAUUCCCCUCUUCUCUCUCUAUUAGCCCUGUUGUGCUACGCAUGUGCUGCCUGAGAGGAAUUCUGAAUUUGUGUGAGAGGAAGGCUGGGUGGGUACAGUAUUGGUGUUGAGGAAUUCUGAAUUUCGCCUAGGGGCACUGUAUUUGCGAUGUUUAGCUGCAGUGAUAUGGUUCCUAGGCUCCUGAUAGACAGGCAAGAGGAUGGCUCUGAUUCUGUAUGACCAUUCAAAACAAGAAAAAGGAAACUGAUAUGUGCCCACUCCUGUUGUUGGAAUGUUUCUUUUGUAUGUUAACUGAAAAAAGUCUGUUUCUUGCAUAUACUUGUGAAGCCCAAUGGCUAUCAUAAAAAAUGAUAUGUGCUUACUUAUGUUGCUAGAUUUCUAUUAUAUGCUAUAACAAAGAAAGGGAUGGUAAAUCUAUAGAUUUAAGUAUUGUAUAUGCUACAAUAUUAGCCAUGCAAACAUAUGCUAGCUAGUGAUUUUUCGGACAUAAUACUAGUGAUUUUUCUUUCUUUCUUUCUUUAUUUCACAUGCUAGCUAGCAAUGGCCAGAAAUACUACUGUUUUCAGUUGAUAGACUCAAAUAAUGCAGCAUGCAUUGUCCUUUUCCCUGCACUAAUAAUGCGGCAUGGGACGUGUGACCACUGACCACAUCAUGUAAUUGUUGCAUAUAUACAGAGUGGUCCUUUUUGAUCUGCAAAUGGUAGUAAUUGUUGCCUGCCACCACAUCAUGUAAUGAGCAACAGUCACACACAAAUUCAGACAAAUGCAUCCAUGGCCUUACACUACAAACACUUACUGUAGGUAGAGGCUGAUGGCGUGACGGAGGCGCGCCCUGAUUUGCUCGUGCAAGCCCAAACAAGGAUCGCGUCGUGGCAAUGCUACAGCCGUGGCUCGAGCUAGAUCACCAUGGCGACGCACAACACAAGACCCCGCUGUUGGAUUCAUUUCUCUGCAGGCCUUCAAGUACAAGAGGCUUUUGCUUGACUAUAACAGCGUACAUGACCAACAAUUCUGCUGAUGAGUAGCACCUCUUAUUUAGCCAUUGUUUCAGCAAUUUUCACUUAAGCAGACAUGUGUUUUGGUUUUCAGUUCCUGCAUAGGCAUCGGUGAUAAGAUAAAGAAUAACAACUGUAUAAACGGAGGUGGUUGGGUAGCAUGGAUUAUGCUAGACUGACUAAGCUUGAGUCCAAAUUUCCUUCAUUUUGAAUUCAGUUAGCCAUUGUUUGAGCAAAUCAUUUCUACAUGCAUGUGUACUGGGGUUAGUACUAUCUACUAUGGUGAAUGCCAUGCAAACAAUUAAGUUGCUUCAUUUGAUUUCCUGCUACAUCUCCACUUAAAUACUCAUAAUGCUACACUCAAGAUCUUGUUCAAUUGGACUGACUACAUAUCUCUUGUUAAAAUUAUGGUCUUGAUCUUUUGUUUAAACCUGAGACAUCAUGCAUAACUAGCUCUUCCUUUAGAGUCUAAACCUGAGACCUCUUUUGUUUUAUAUUCAGUUCUAUGAUUGAUGGUCACACUGCUGUUUUGCUAUGCUUGAUAAACCUGAGACCUCUUUCUAUUCUUAUUCUUUAGGUCACACUGUUGUUUUUCUGUGGUUGAUAAACCUGAGACUUCUUUCUAUUCUUCAAGGCGGUUUUGUUUAGGCCAGCCAUGGAGCAAAAAGAACAGACAUUGCUACUUAAGCAAGAGGGAAUACCCUACGAGGCCAUGAUGCUUACCUUGCUCGAGCGCAUCAACCCCGACCAUGGCACCACAUUCACAGUCUUGAGGUAGCCGUGCUGCAACUACAUCAACGCUAUCUUCUCUGACUAGAUAAGUCUUCGGUCUAUCCCAUUAUUUUCUUUUGUUCUUUGGUCGAUGGGCCAUGAUGCCAUUGUGUUGAUUCCCUAUGUGAUGCAGAAGCUAUGGUGUUUUGUUUUAAGUCUGUUAUAAAUUGUAAUUGAUAAUGAUUUGUGUAAAAUUAGUGUAGAACAUAUGUCUUGUUAUCUUAAAUCGUUCGUGUCGUGCUCAAUGAACCAUCAAAGAUUAAAUUGUUUUCUGCGUUCAACAUCUAGAACCAUUUUGGGAGUUUUGGUAUACAUGCAACAACUAUGCCUUCUUGGAUUCUGAACAACCAUUUCUGGAAGUUUUGGUAUUCAUGCAACAACUAGUCCUUGUGGUUAUUACGGUUACAUGUUACAUGUAGAGAUGGUUCAUGAUUUAGUCCCUAGCUGCUAUCUAUAUUUGUUUUUAUUUUGUUUCUAACUCUUUUGGUUAAUUGUUAGAUGCCUUUGUUCAGCUUGUAUGGACAUAUCUAGAAAUGGUGUUUCCUCUCAUGUAAAGAGCUCCAGCCUAGAAGUGAAGAAGUUUGGAGUGUAUUUGUAGCAGGUUUAUAUGUUGUGAUGGUAUCACAUGUAAUGGUGAAAUGAAUUAUGUAAAGAUUGUGCUAUUAGCCAAAAUUGGCAUGUGGUUUGAUAAUUCUCAUUUGU
Molecule: long non-coding RNA, 3055 nt
Organism: Triticum dicoccoides
Lineage: Eukaryota; Viridiplantae; Streptophyta; Magnoliopsida; Poales; Poaceae
Exons: 3
Source: RefSeq, a predicted model, not a curated record